This 478-nucleotide ribosomal RNA is filed under the name uncultured bacterium. RNAcentral describes it as "bacterial SSU rRNA". It matches the Rfam family "Bacterial small subunit ribosomal RNA", at positions 335 to 800 of the family's 1533-position model. The record is from RNAcentral.
ACUCCUACGGGAGGCAGCAGUGGGGAAUAUUGCACAAUGGGCGCAAGCCUGAUGCAGCCAUGCCGCGUGUAUGAAGAAGGCCUUCGGGUUGUAAAGUACUUUCAGCAGUGAGGAAGGUGGGUAUGUUAAUAGCAUAUUCAUUUGACGUUAGCUGCAGAAGAAGCACCGGCUAACUCCGUGCCAGCAGCCGCGGUAAUACGGAGGGUGCGAGCGUUAAUCGGAAUUACUGGGCGUAAAGCGCAUGCAGGUGGUUUGUUAAGUCAGAUGUGAAAGCCCGGGGCUCAAACCUCGGAAAUUGCAUUUGAAACUGGCAAACUAGAGUACUGUAGAGGGGGGUAGAAUUUCAGGUGUAGCGGUGAAAUGCGUAGAGAUCUGAAGGAAUACCGGUGGCGAAGGCGGCCCCCUGGACAGAUACUGACACUCAGAUGCGAAAAGCGUGGGGAGCAAACAGGAUUAGAUACCCCCGGUAGGCUACUGC